Molecule: ribosomal RNA, 461 nt
Filed under: uncultured bacterium
Lineage: Bacteria
Description: SSU rRNA
Rfam family: Bacterial small subunit ribosomal RNA
Source: RNAcentral
AGGAUAAACGCUGGCGGCGUGCCUAACACAUGCAAGUCGAACGCCCUACGCAAGUAGGGAGUGGCGGACGGGUGAGGAACACGUGGGUUAUCUGCCUUUCGGUGAGGAAUACCAGCGAGAAAUCGCUGACAAUACCGCAUACGGUUCUUUCGAGAGGAAGAACGAAAGUCGUAAGACGCCGGGAGAUGAGCCUGCGCCCGAUUAGUUUGUUGGUGGGGUAAAAGCCUACCAAGACUGCAAUCGGUAGCUGGUCUGAGAGGACGAUCAGCCACACUGGGAUUGAGAACGGCCCAGACUCCUACGGGGGGCAGCAGUGAGGAAUUUCGUCAAUGGGGGAAACCCUGAACGAGCAACGCCGCGUGCAGGAAGAAGGUUUUCGGAUCGUAAACUGCUUUUCUGUGGGAAGAGAACGGACGGUACCACGAGGAAGAAGCUCCGGCUAACUACGCGCCAGCAGCCGC